Long non-coding RNA from Aquila chrysaetos chrysaetos, 401 nucleotides. RefSeq lists it as uncharacterized. The record is from RefSeq and is a predicted model, not a curated record. NCBI's taxonomy places the organism in Eukaryota, Metazoa, Chordata, Aves, Accipitriformes, Accipitridae. The transcript has 3 exons.
AAUAUUUGUAACAUCUAGAAUGAGGAAGCUGAAUGCCUCCCUCUCUCAGUAAAAUCCCAGGAAGGAGAUCAAAGGAAAACAGUUACAAGUCAGCCCAGGAGAGGGGGAAUUAUGGCACGGAUUUCUCCCGUCUGUUAAUUUUGAAGUCUGUCACUGCUGAUGUUGUUCCUGAUGGACUCACAAGAAAGCUUUCAGAAUAUCAUAUCAUUGAGUAAAGAAUGACAAUUUUUCAUCACUUCAGCUAAUGCUAAAAUGAGGUUGUUUUCAGUUCUUAUUGCUGAUCAUUCUCCAUUAAGGAAAACAGAACUUAAAAAGUAAAGGCAGCACUUUGCUAGGAAGCAUGCAACAUCUUCUCUUAUUCAAAGUGCAAACUGGAUUCACCCCUCACUGCAGUGGUGUGA